RNAcentral lists this ribosomal RNA (292 nucleotides) under uncultured bacterium. Its description in RNAcentral is "partial 16S ribosomal RNA". The record is from RNAcentral.
GGACUACCGGGGUAUCUAAUCCCGUUCGCUACCCUAGCUUUCGCGCCUCAGCGUCAGAUGAGAUCCAGUCCGCCGCUUUCGCCACCGGCGUUCCUUCCGAUAUCUACGCAUUUCACCGCUCCACCGGAAGUUCCGCAGACCCCUAUCUCCCUCGAGACUCGCAGUAUCAAAGGCUGUUCUCCGGUUGAGCCGGAGGAUUUCACCCCUGACUUACAAGCCCGCCUACGCGCCCUUUAAGCCCAGUGAAUCCGAACAACGUUCGCACGGUUCGUCUUACCGCGGCUGCUGGCAC